AGAGUCUUAUACCAGAGUCUCUGAGUGUGUGGCAUGAACACACUGGACCCAUCGAAAGCAGCAAGAUGGUGACUCCAUCAUAGCUUUUUGGCCUUCUGCUCCUCUGGGUUCCAGCCUCCCAUGGCGAGAUUGUGCUGACCCAGUCUCCUGCUGUCCUGUCCAGGGCUCUAAAAGAAAGAGUCACCAUCACCUGCCAGGCCAGUCAGAAUAUUAACAAGUGGUUAGCCUGGUAUCAGCAGGAGCCAAGGAGAACUCCUAAGCUCCUCAUCUAUGAAGCAUCCAAGUUGGAAACUGGGGUCCCAUCACGGUUCAGCGGCAGUGGGUCUGGGACAGACUUCACUCUCACCAUCAGCAGCCUGGAGCCUGAAGAUGCUAGGACCUACUACUGCCUACAGUAUAAUAGCUACCCGCCCACUGUGUUACAGGUGCUGAUGGAAGGCAUUGAAUCCUCCUCUUCUGACCU
Enhydra lutris kenyoni (northern sea otter) is the source of this 463-nucleotide long non-coding RNA. RefSeq lists it as uncharacterized. Lineage: Eukaryota; Metazoa; Chordata; Mammalia; Carnivora; Mustelidae. The transcript has 3 exons. The record is from RefSeq and is a predicted model, not a curated record.